CCUGACGUGUGUGAAAGGAAAUACAAUAGGCUUAACUAAUCAUGGCUGAUCUAUAAUAUACAAAUCAGAGUGUGAAGCGGGGGCGGGCAGUGUUUGUGGAACUCCUGGUAUGAAAAUCUAGGCACGUUGGGUGUCACUCAAGACCUGGUAGAGCAGAUCAACGUAGCCUGUGUCGACAUAUUAUGGAGCCCCUGUAACGUAUUCUCACCUAAGUCACGUGUGCCCCUUCAGCCGGAGCAGCCGUUACCGUGACAACAAUGCAUGACGGGGGCUGGUGAUGGUGUGGAGUAGUAACCAUGGCAUCCAAUCUGUUAUUGCUAUCUUUGCAACCACACAUCUCUGAUCCCACACAGCCUGCACAAUAGUGUAAAAGACAGGCUGAGAACAUUUGGGUGGAUGUGGAGGUGUGUGUGUGGCACAUUUUAAGUCCUGAGCCAAUCAAAUAGUCUAAAAAUAUAGAGUGGAAUAUGCAGAAAUAGGCCAUCAUCAGCGUGUAUGUGAGGUAAAUGUUCUCACUCCACUGCUGGCGUUAACUCAGGUCACGCAGCCUAUAUUUCACGCUCUGAGUCCAAGUCCCUGCUGCUCUAUUUCCAGAGAAGACAUCAAUAAUUUGUGGCCUAGUCUGCAUACAUGGGUGAAAUACUGUAUACUGUAUGUGUUCCGUCGGUAGUGUAACACGCAAUGAGCACCGACUGAACCCAUUACUGGAAUUAACGCACAUUAAUGUUUCAUCACGGCCCAUUACAGAGUCUCUUAUCACAAAGGAAAACCCAUGACCUCGAUUCAAAAUGCACACUGCAGGCAACGAUAUGUUCACGAGAUGGUCACACUCUACGUUUGCCUGCCCAGGGCCAUUGGUCUCAGCUGGUCUGCAGGUGGCGCUCUUCAGCAGGAUCAUGGUGACACCAAAGUGGAGUGUGGUGGAUGAUUUGAGGAGUCUCACAGCAUGAGGAAUGAAGCUGAAGUGUUGAAUGGCCCUAUCACGUGUGGUUUACUGUUCUGGGCUACUUCAGAAACAUGGCAAGCUCUGUAGAAGAGGACCCCAUCUCACUGUAGAUGAGUCUAAAAACAAAAACAUAACUAUUCUUAGUGAUUAUGCACUGAUAAUCUGAAGAAAUUACAUUUGAAUUGAUGAUAAUGAACAUAAUAUUCUA
This is a long non-coding RNA of Acanthopagrus latus (yellowfin seabream), 1154 nucleotides long. RefSeq lists it as uncharacterized. The record is from RefSeq and is a predicted model, not a curated record. Lineage: Eukaryota; Metazoa; Chordata; Actinopteri; Spariformes; Sparidae. The transcript has 3 exons.